UACGUAGGGUGCAAGCGUUGUCCGGAAUUAUUGGGCGUAAAGAGCUCGUAGGCGGUUUGUCGCGUCUGCCGUGAAAGUCCGGGGCUCAACUUCGGAUCUGCGGUGGGUACGGGCAGACUAGAGUGAUGUAGGGGAGACUGGAAUUCCUGGUGUAGCGGUGAAAUGCGCAGAUAUCAGGAGGAACACCGAUGGCGAAGGCAGGUCUCUGGGCAUUAACUGACGCUGAGGAGCGAAAGCAUGGGGAGCGAACAGG
RNAcentral lists this ribosomal RNA (253 nucleotides) under uncultured bacterium. RNAcentral describes it as "partial 16S ribosomal RNA". It matches the Rfam family "Bacterial small subunit ribosomal RNA", at positions 524 to 776 of the family's 1533-position model. The record is from RNAcentral.